UAAGGAAUAUUGCGCAAUGGGGGAAACCCUGACGCAGCAACGCCGCGUGGAGGAUGACACUUUUCGGAGCGUAAACUCCUUUUAUCAGGAAAGAAUAAUGACGGUACCUGAUGAAUAAGCACCGGCUAACUCCGUGCCAGCAGCCGCGGUAAUACGGGGGGUGCAAGCGUUACUCGGAAUCACUGGGCGUAAAGGACGCGUAGGCGGAUUAUCAAGUCUUUUGUGAAAUCUAGUGGCUUAACCACUAAACUGCUUAGGAAACUGAUAGACUAGAGUAGGGGAGAGGUAGAUGGAAUUCUUGGUGUAGGGGUAAAAUCCGUAGAGAUCAAGAAGAAUACCCAUUGCGAAAGCGAUCUGCUGGAACCUAACUGACGCUGAGGCGUGAAAGCGUGGGUAGCAAACAGG
Molecule: ribosomal RNA, 405 nt
Filed under: bacterium
Lineage: Bacteria
Description: partial 16S ribosomal RNA
Rfam family: Bacterial small subunit ribosomal RNA
Source: RNAcentral